GUGUCAAUUAAAAAGCAAGUAAAAUAAAAUUGGAACGAUACAGAGAUUAGCAUGGCUUCUGUGUGAGGAUGACAUGCCAAUUUGUGCUGUGUUCCAUAUUUUU
Molecule: small nuclear RNA, 103 nt
Organism: Pteronotus mesoamericanus
Lineage: Eukaryota; Metazoa; Chordata; Mammalia; Chiroptera; Mormoopidae
Source: RefSeq, a predicted model, not a curated record